GGGGUUGUGGCUCAGUGGUAAAGCACUCGCCUAGCACGUGCGAGGCGCUGAGUUCAAUCCUCAGCACCA
This 69-nucleotide transfer RNA is filed under the name Ictidomys tridecemlineatus (thirteen-lined ground squirrel). RNAcentral's name for it is "Spermophilus tridecemlineatus (thirteen-lined ground squirrel) tRNA". It matches the Rfam family "tRNA". Rfam says of the family: Transfer RNA (tRNA) molecules are approximately 80 nucleotides in length. Lineage: Eukaryota; Metazoa; Chordata; Mammalia; Rodentia; Sciuridae. The record is from Rfam by way of RNAcentral.